GAAGGAUGAAAUACCAAUAAAUGUUGAGAGAAUAAUAUCCACCGCUGCUUACAACUUCAAAAGGAAAUUGAAAUUCAAUUCUAAAAAUAAAUUCUAGCCAGAACAGAAUACUUCAAAAACUUCAAAGAAAAUAAAACCUAAAAAGUGUUCUUGGUGCCAGUAUGUGGGCGGAAGUGAUAGGUCAAAAAGAGCAGUCAGCCUCUUUAAAUAGUCUUCCCCAUAAAACACGUUUCUUCUUCUUUUAACUUAAGUGCCACUCUUGAACAAAAGAAGGCCCAGCGGGUGCUGGGCCCUCAGCUCGACCGCGGAGGAAAAUAGGGGCCUUGGGCGAGUGGC
This 336-nucleotide long non-coding RNA is filed under the name Salvia miltiorrhiza (redroot sage). RNAcentral's name for it is "long non-coding RNA (SMIL_LNC012932)". The record is from RNAcentral. Lineage: Eukaryota; Viridiplantae; Streptophyta; Magnoliopsida; Lamiales; Lamiaceae.